CUCACCAUGGAGUGGAGCUGGAUCAUUCUCUUCCUAGUGGCAGCAGCUACAGGUGUCCAUUCCCAGGUUCAGCUGCAGCAGUCUGGAGCUGUGGUGGGGAGACCUGGGGCCUCAGUGAAGUUGUCCUGCAAGGCUUCUGGCUACACCUUCACCAGCUACUAUAUGAGCUGGGUGAAGCAGAGGCCUGGAGAGGGGCUGGAGUGGAUUGGAAGGAUUGAUCCUGAAGAUGGUGGUACUAGGUACAAUCAGAAGUUCCAGGGCAAGGCUACACUGACUGCAGACACAACCUCCAACACAGCCUACAUGCAGCUCAACAGUCUGACAUCGGAGGACUCUGCGGUCUAUUACUGUACGAGACACAGUGUUGCAACCACAUCCUGA
Molecule: non-coding RNA, 381 nt
Organism: Acomys russatus (golden spiny mouse)
Lineage: Eukaryota; Metazoa; Chordata; Mammalia; Rodentia; Muridae
Source: the annotation of a RefSeq genome assembly